Molecule: ribosomal RNA, 253 nt
Filed under: uncultured bacterium
Lineage: Bacteria
Description: partial 16S ribosomal RNA
Rfam family: Bacterial small subunit ribosomal RNA
Source: RNAcentral
UACGUAGGUGGCAAGCGUUGUCCGGAUUUACUGGGCGUAAAGAGCGCGCAGGCGGUCGUUCAAGUCGCGUGUGAAAGCCCCCGGCUCAACUGGGGAGGGUCACGCGAUACUGAUCGACUCGAAGGCAGGAGAGGGUAGUGGAAUUCCCGGUGUAGUGGUGAAAUGCGUAGAUAUCGGGAGGAACACCAGUGGCGAAGGCGACUACCUGGCCUGUUACUGACGCUGAGGCGCGAAAGCGUGGGGAGCAAACAGG